RNAcentral lists this ribosomal RNA (253 nucleotides) under uncultured bacterium. Its description in RNAcentral is "partial 16S ribosomal RNA". It matches the Rfam family "Bacterial small subunit ribosomal RNA", at positions 524 to 776 of the family's 1533-position model. The record is from RNAcentral.
UACGAAGGGGGCUAGCGUUGUUCGGAAUUACUGGGCGUAAAGCGUGCGCAGGCGGUUCUUCAAGUCAGGGGUGAAAGCCCAGAGCUCAACUCUGGAAUUGCCUUUGAGACUGAGUGGCUUGAGGACGGGAGAGGUGAGUGGAAUUCCCAGUGUAGAGGUGAAAUUCGUAGAUAUUGGGAAGAACACCGGUGGCGAAGGCGGCUCACUGGCCCGUAACUGACGCUCAUGCACGACAGCGUGGGGAUCAAACAGG